RNAcentral lists this long non-coding RNA (4997 nucleotides) under Brassica napus (rape). Its description in RNAcentral is "long non-coding RNA (BNAP_LNC025348)". Lineage: Eukaryota; Viridiplantae; Streptophyta; Magnoliopsida; Brassicales; Brassicaceae. The record is from RNAcentral.
CGAAACUCCAAUGAUGAUGAGUCCAAGCUUUUGCAUUGCGGUUGCAACCUCUAUGCCCCCAAAAGAACUAUUUAUUUGUUCCUUUAUCAUUCACGUUUGAAAUAAGGUUUGGUAAAAUGGAGGAAAAAAUAGUUGAAGAUGGAGUUGAUUACUUCAGGACACACUGACUUCACCAAGAAGAACCACUUUAUCCAACUUGGUGUUUCUACGUAUUCUUCUCCUCUACAAACACCUUGGAAAAUUGCUUUCGCGCAUCUACUAACUGGCUCCGAUACUAUAAAAUCUGAACCGUGCUAUUAUAAAGAAAAGAAAUACAAACACAAAACACAUAAUUAACUUAUUUUUAUAUAAAACUAUUAAUUUUUUUUGUUGAAAAUUCUAGUUGGAUGGAAAAUGGUUUGUAAAAGUACUUACUCUUUUUAUAAUCUCAGGAGUUGUCAUAUCCGUGGAGAUUAGUCCAGGAAAAACAAUGGUUACUUUUAUAUCCGGAUUGAGUUCAAUUCUCAGUGCCUCAUAAAAUCCUAACAAUGCUGCUUUGCUUGCCUACAACAAUAAUUAUUAAUUAAUCAAGUAACAUCGGCAUUAUCAAACUAUUAAUUAACUCAAAAAAUUAAUAUUAUUUAAGUAUGUAACUAAUACGUCACCAACGUGUGGCCGGUGGAGGUCUACAUGUGAAUUUGAAUGGUGAAGAUUCUUUAUGUAAACUAACAUAUUAGAUGUCGUAAUUUAUAAGAAAAGCCAAACCUUAUUUUAUAUAUGUUACAAUAAAACAUAGGAAAUAAGUAUGAACAUAUUUCAUAUAUGUUAAGCAGAAGAAUUCUUACAGAAUAAAUGGUUGCCACUGGGAUAGCUAUCUUUGCUGCAGCAGAAGCAAUCACAACUAUUUUUCCUUUACUUUUUCGUAGAUGGGGAAUUGCAUAAUAAGUGAUGUAUGUUGAGCCCCAGAAGUUGGUAUCCUUUAACAUAUACAGAAUUCAAGUAAAUAAUGUUUAUAUGUGGAGAAAUAGAGCUUGAUUAAGUCUUUUUUUUUUAUUAAGUCAUUUUUGCACGUAAACAACAAAAUAUUCCACAUAAUGUAUGUAUUUUAAGAAAAUAGUCGUAUGGAUAUAUGAUAAACAUACAUGUAAUUUUAGUACAAAGGGCCUUUUACAUGGAAAUUCAUAGGAUAUGCAUGAAUCAUCGAUUCACUUAUGAAGUUUAAACCAUCUAAGUCCGUAUUUUGGUAUGAGAUCAUAUUUUCAUUAUAUCACCAUCCACAUUUCAAAGCCGGUAAAAUGCAUGUUAUUGAUCAAGAAAAGGUUUUAAGUAAUAAAGUUAUAAAAGUGGUUAUAUCUAUUUUUCCACAUAUGUAUACAUUUACUUUUGGAAGUGGUUAAAUUUCAUGUAUAUAUAUAUAAUGAUGAACUAAAAUAAAUUCAGGCAUCCUUACUUAGUAAAUUUUAACUUAGAUUUUAGUAUAUGACAACAAUAUGAAUGUGUCUUCCAUUAAUAACUCACCAUUAUAGGAUUAGCGUCUUGAAUUUGGGAGAAAUUCUCAAACAAAACAGUUUGAGAUACACCAGCAUUAUUAAUUAAAUGGUCCACUGUCAAAAUAUAACAACUCGAUUAGAAUAACCCCAACAUAAAUUAAGUCUUAAAUAAGGAACGUAAACAUCAUUAAAACCUUUAUAAAUUAUUAAAAACAUUAAUUGGGUCGAAACCUUAUAUCAAAUUUGGGUAAAUUAACUAAUUUAUUAAAUACUAAUACUUAUAAAGAUUAUACUAUAUUGAAUUAUUGAUGAUAACUUGUUUUAAAUAUUUCCUGUUAGCUGUUAUUUCAUAGUACGUGUAAAUUUCAGAGUUCUGUAUUUGAGUACUCACCUUUUCCAAAAUGACUUAUCGUCUCACUGAUGAACUUCAUGCAAUCAUUAAUCUUAGUAACAUCACCAGGUAUGAUGAUAACGUCCCGUGAACCUAACUUCCGUGAUGUAUCUGCUACUAUUUGUAAACGAUCCUCUCGUCGAGCAACCAAAGCUAGAUCUGCUCCUUUCUUCGCGUACUCGUAUGCAACAUGCUUUUUAUUUCAGCGAAGAAAAAAAAAUAUUAACCCAAACAUGUCAAUUCAGAAGUGAUCCCAAAAGAAAAAAAAAUAUAUUCUGUGUAAAUCCUAAAGUCAAAACCUAACCUCUCCGAUGCCGGAGGAAGCUCCAGUGAUGAGAACUACUUUUCCAGCGACAUUUUCAACGCAAAGAUGCUUACGAACACAAUUUAGAAGUUUGAUAAAAAGAUAGAUUGGGUAGAAGAGGAAAAGGAAAAUGAUGGUAAGAGGAGGCAGAAGAAUAUUGAGAAUGAUGUGAAGCAUAUCCAUGUUGUUUGCAAGAGAACACCUUCCUACUUGACCUUUGCCAGUGAUUAAGAAAAAACAAAACAAAAUGUUGAUUGAUUUCUAAGGCUUUCUCGUGGAAGUCGCCCACUUAUCGGUAGCCCAAUACUACAAGACAAAACACUAUGUCAGUGAAAUAUGCGGGAGCUAUUGGAAUUUAAUACAUUUUUUCGUCAACAUUAAACAAAAAUAUUUGAAGAUCACGAUCUAUACUGAUGCAGCAGCAUCUAGGAGCUCCAACGACUCUUUUCCAUAUUUGAGUUUAAUAUUUCUUUUGGUUUAUUUUCUCACUAUUGAUGUUUUCAGUUUUACUAAUAAAAUUAAGACUUUUAAAGCUCUACAUAUAGAGUUGCUUUGUAACUUAUAUUUUCAAAAAUUAAUAAACUAGUUUUUGAUCUAAUUUAAUUCGUCUUCUUCGAAAAGUUUUAAACGAGUUUCGAUUAAAUUCAUCUUUUUCAAGUUGCGGGUCUUUACUGAAAUCCCUAAAUUAAACUGAGUUCAUGUUCUUACCGCGCCAUCAUAUAAGCCAUCAUAUACGAAUAACAAUCAUAAUUUAUUUAUAAUACUUACUAGAAGGUUACAGUACGUUCGUGUCACUAUAUAAAUCAGACGUCGCUGCAUGGAUUAAUUAUUUAAUACAUGAAACAAAAAUAUAUAUUACUAACAUGAGACGCGUUGCAUCACCACAGAUCGAUUUCUACUUAAGAAAAUUGGACCAUUAUCAUAUAUUUAAAUCAAAUGAUGAUAGUUGUAUUGAUGUAAUAUUAUUAUUGGAAAGGAAUUUUCGUGAUUAAUAUCUAUAUAUAGUAGUUUAAAUUUAGAGGUUUGACUCGAGAUUGUUUUCUUUCUAGAAGAUUAUAUUGAUAGAUCUCAUAGAUCCAUCCAAUUUCAACCAACAUAUUACUCAUAAAUUAGAAUAAAACUGGCGAGUUCUCAAAAUACUAAAACCAAAAGCCAACAUAAAAGACUGAUCAUUUUCUAGAACCAAAACCUAGCAGAUAAAAGAUCUAUUCCUAGAACGAAACAAGAAAACUCUACAAUUACGACUGUUAACAAAUUUUGGAUAGUUCUAUUUUAUUUAGUAAAGAGUAUUCUAUAAAUUUUAUUAUUAUUUGGAAACGUAUUGUUAACAUAUAAUUUAUUUUUUAAUUAAUUCAUAUUAUAUAUUUUGUAUAAAAGAACGUGAAGACAUCUAAACCCACGCGAACGUAUUGUAGACGCUAUAGGGCGACGCCGAGAAGCGCUGCUAUGUUUUUUUUUUUUUUUUUAUGUCUCCUCGAAGAUAUUCUUCUCAAGUUUAAUGGUUAUUUUUUUCUAUAUAUUUAUUUUUACUGUAUUUUAUUGAAUCAUUUUUCUAAUAGAAAAUUUAUUCGAUUUGUGUUCAUUUUUUUAUUUUGAGUUUUUUUUUUCAAAAUGAAUCUUGGAUAUCUGUUGCAAAAUCAGAUUGUACUGGAUGUUUUUUUUUUUUUUCUGAACAAUGUAAGAAUGAGUAACUUAUUUGUCUUUUUAUUACCACCUCUUGCAAAAUUUGUGGAGUCUUUUUGUCUUUUCGUUAAAAUUUUCAUGUAUGCAAAAUCUGGUUUCUGUAUGAUAAACAUUCGCGCGGCUAUAGUAAAUCUCGCCAAAAUCUGUACGAUAGUGAACGUACAUGCGGUGCCGAUAACAAUUUUACAGAAUAUCGCAUCUCGUGAACACAAAGAUUCGUCAUGUUUUGACAUUAAAGAAGUUUUCCAAUCCUUUUAUCAAAAUGAUAACCAAAAAAUGGAGAUUUGUUUGUGUAACUUAGAGGCAACCAAGAGCUUUCAAUGUGAUUCAAUUGAAGUGUUUGUGAUGAUAAUUUAGAUGGUAUUUUCCCAUUCAACAUUACCGGCUGGCGUAUGAUUGAUGAGACAACGAGUUGUAAGGACACACUAACUCAAAAACUUGAAUGAAAGAUGUGAUUGAAACCCUAUAGUAUGUAGACUAUAGUCAUUGGUGUGACGAUUUUAUGUUUGUACCUUUCCUUUAUGAUGUGGAGUACCAACACAAGAUGUCUCAUAGACGAUACCUCUUUUUUUUUUUAAUUGGAAUACUCGCUUACUCGGUUAAGGAGAUAAUUUUUGAGUCAUUAUUAUCGAAUUGUUCUCACUUUUGAUAUGGAAUGUUCGACUAAGCAACAAAGUUCUGUUAAUGUGUACGUUUAUAAGGUUAGAUAUAGAUCCACAUCGUUCUAAAAUAUCCUCAAAUAAAGGUACAAUCUCCAUAUAUCCCAAUGAACUAACUCAAACUAUGAUUUUUACUAUUCAAUGCAAAAGAAUCUCUUGUUUGUUUGUUUGACACGACUAAAACAAAAGUACCACUACUUAAAUUAGAUAAAUGUAAAAUCUCCAAAGUUUAUGAAAAAAGAAUGUUCCAAUCCAAACCAUUAUGCGAAACUCCAAUGAUGAUGAGUCCAAGCUUUUGCAUUGCGGUUGCAACCUCUAUGCCCCCAAAAGAACUAUUUAUUUGUUCCUUUAUCAUUCACGUUUGAAAUAAGGUUUGGUAAAAUGGAGGAAAAAAUAGUUGAAGAUGGAGUUGAUUACUUCAGGACACACUGACUUCACCAAGAAGAACCACUUUAUCCAACUUGGUGUUUCUACGUAUUCUUCUCCUCUAC